Molecule: long non-coding RNA, 668 nt
Organism: Dromaius novaehollandiae (emu)
Lineage: Eukaryota; Metazoa; Chordata; Aves; Casuariiformes; Dromaiidae
Exons: 3
Source: RefSeq, a predicted model, not a curated record
CUAGGUCCUUCCUGUCUACCCCGUGGCAGCAACCAGAUUUUCUGCAGUUGUUGAUGCAUGCAAAGAGAGGCUGCCUGCAAGAAAGCUGUUUCAUGUCACAUAAGGACAAGGCUUCAUAAGGAAUUGCUAUAAAUCUGCGAUGCUUACUGAGUGUGCAGUGGGAAUAUGCAGCAUGCCAAGAAUGGAUAUUUCAUUUGCUUCAGCUUUUUAUUUUCAUGCCAAGGCGCAAGCUAAGGUAUGUGUCUGUGAUCACCAGGAUUGUAAAUGCAGUGGACCUCUGAGAUGUUCCUUCAGUGAUGCCAUGUGGACAACUCAAGUAUCAAAGGCAGAUGUCCAGGUCAGGGGCUUUCACAGGGAGGAACUCUUUUUCUUGUGGAUUGCCAGAUGUGUUAGAAAGGCUUUCAGAGGUGACUAGAUGCUGAUGACUAUUGCCAUUAUUCAGGGUUUGUAUUCAAACCAUGCAUCUUCAGUCUGUAUAUGGAGCCAGUUGCUGCUAUUACAGCUUCCUAACAGCAGCUCAGUCUGAUACAGUAGUCCACAAAGUGUAAAGUGCCUCUGAGAUGGGACAUCUGAGUAUCAUAUGUGAGUAUAGUAUAUUUCCUUAAGUCUUUUGUAUUCUAAAUUAAAUGCAAUCCAAUAUUUAGUGAAUAAAAGAAAGUUGUGUGUUA